Molecule: ribosomal RNA, 714 nt
Filed under: Bacillus sp. (in: firmicutes)
Lineage: Bacteria; Bacillati; Bacillota; Bacilli; Caryophanales; Bacillaceae
Description: bacterial SSU rRNA
Rfam family: Bacterial small subunit ribosomal RNA
Source: RNAcentral
UCUUAUGAAGUUAGCGGCGGACGGGUGAGUAACACGUGGGUAACCUGCCCAUAAGACUGGGAUAACUCCGGGAAACCGGGGCUAAUACCGGAUAACAUUUUGAACCGCAUGGUUCGAAAUUGAAAGGCGGCUUCGGCUGUCACUUAUGGAUGGACCCGCGUCGCAUUAGCUAGUUGGUGAGGUAACGGCUCACCAAGGCAACGAUGCGUAGCCAACCUGAGAGGGUGAUCGGCCACACUGGGACUGAGACACGGCCCAAACUCCUACGGGAGGCAGCAGUAGGGAAUCUUCCGCAAUGGACGAAAGUCUGACGGAGCAACGCCCCGUGAGUGAUGAAGGCUUUCGGGUCGUAAAACUCUGUUGUUAGGGAAGAACAAGUGCUAGUUGAAUAAGCUGGCACCUUGACGGUACCUAACCAGAAAGCCACGGCUAACUACGUGCCAGCAGCCGCGGUAAUACGUAGGUGGCAAGCGUUAUCCGGAAUUAUUGGGCGUAAAGCGCGCGCAGGUGGUUUCUUAAGUCUGAUGUGAAAGCCCACGGCUCAACCGUGGAGGGUCAUUGGAAACUGGGAGACUUGAGUGCAGAAGAGGAAAGUGGAAUUCCAUGUGUAGCGGUGAAAUGCGUAGAGAUAUGGAGGAACACCAGUGGCGAAGGCGACUUUCUGGUCUGUAACUGACACUGAGGCGCGAAAGCGUGGGGAGCAAACGGGAUUAG